AUGUGCUCGCAGGAGACGGACAUCGAGUCUGACGAGUCCCAGAGUCUGCUGCUGGUCCCGGUGGAGCUCUGCGUGGACACGCCGUCGUUCUCCGCGGACACGCCGUCGUCCUACGCGAACACGCCCUCGCCCUGGAUGAACACGCCAUCGCUCUGCGCGGACACGCCGCCGUCCAUCCCCAACACGCCGCUGCCGUUCCCGGCGUGUUUUGAACAGUCGACCACCGGCACACAAACCUGCUUGUUAAAGCAGGAGCCAGCGGAGAACCCAGCCGAAGAGUUCGGUCCUGUGCGGAGUGUUGGUCAACAGGAGGCUCUGUUCCGAAAGGCAAGAUCCAGUUCUCCCCCCGGUACUUUCCAAAAACCGGGUCCUCCUCUGCCCACGCCCCCCCGCCGGGCUCAUUCCGUCCCACCUCCACCGCCGUCGCCGCUGCCAGCGUCCGGUCCGGAGCCCGGCGUCAAGUCCAGCAGCUUCUGGAAGAGCUGCAACGCCACCGGGCGGACGCGGGCCAUCUUCGACGACUUCUUUCGUGAGAUGAGCGGCGUCGCCGAGAGGAUCCUGCUGGAGCAAGCCAGCGACGAGGAUUACGAUGUGGCUCUGUCCGUCUUGGCCGCUAUGGGGAAGCUGCCGGCGUACGUGUCCAAGCAGCAGGAAGAGUUACAGAGGAAGCAGCAGGAAGUGGGGAAGGCUUGUGCGGCCAUGUUGGACGUCGUCGCAGCGCUGAAGAAAAUCCCAUCUGCAGCAGGAGCCGGAGCUUCAGCCUCACUCUGA
This 771-nucleotide long non-coding RNA is filed under the name Salarias fasciatus (jewelled blenny). RNAcentral's name for it is "lncRNA (ENSSFAG00005013346.1)". Lineage: Eukaryota; Metazoa; Chordata; Actinopteri; Blenniiformes; Blenniidae. The record is from RNAcentral.